RNAcentral lists this unclassified non-coding RNA (159 nucleotides) under uncultured Hyaloscyphaceae. Its description in RNAcentral is "sequence contains ITS1". The record is from RNAcentral. Lineage: Eukaryota; Fungi; Ascomycota; Leotiomycetes; Helotiales.
CAGAGAUAUGCCCUCCGGGGCAGACCUCCCACCCUGUAUAAUUUACUCUUGUUGCUUUGGCAGGCCGCCUUCGGGCCCCCGGCACUUCUGCUGGGGAGCGUCUGCCAGAGGACCCUAAACUCUGAAUGUUAGUGUUGUCUGAGUACUAUAAAAUAGUUA